RNAcentral lists this ribosomal RNA (450 nucleotides) under uncultured bacterium. RNAcentral's name for it is "partial 16S ribosomal RNA". It matches the Rfam family "Bacterial small subunit ribosomal RNA", at positions 354 to 796 of the family's 1533-position model. The record is from RNAcentral.
GUAGGGAAUCUUCCACAAUGGACGAAAGUCUGAUGGAGCAACGCCGCGUGAGUGAAGAAGGUCUUCGGAUCGUAAAACUCUGUUGUUAGAGAAGAACGUGCAUGAUAGUAACUGAUCAUGUAAUGACGGUAUCUAACCAGAAAGCCACGGCUAACUACGUGCCAGCAGCCGCGGUAAUACGUAGGUGGCAAGCGUUGUCCGGAUUUAUUGGGCGUAAAGGGAACGCAGGCGGUUUUUUAAGUCUGAUGUGAAAGCCUUCGGCUUAACCGAAGAAUAGCAUUGGAAACUGAAAGAAUUGAGUGCAGAAGAGGAGAGUGGAAUUCCAUGUGUAGCGGUGAAAUGCGUAGAUAUAUGGAGGAACACCAGUGGCGAAAGCGGCUCUCUGGUCUGUAACUGACGCUGAGGUUCGAAAGCGUGGGUAGCAAACAGGAUUAGAAACCCGGGUAGUCC